RNAcentral lists this ribosomal RNA (513 nucleotides) under uncultured bacterium. RNAcentral's name for it is "partial 16S ribosomal RNA". It matches the Rfam family "Bacterial small subunit ribosomal RNA", at positions 28 to 523 of the family's 1533-position model. The record is from RNAcentral.
GACGAACGCUGGCGGCAUGCCUAAUACAUGCAAGUCGAGCGAACAGAUGAAGUGCUUGCACUUCUGACGUUAGCGGCGAACGGGUGAGUAACACGUAAGGAAUCUACCUAUAAGCGGGGGAUAACAUUCGGAAACGGGUGCUAAUACCGCAUAAUAUCUUCCUCCGCAUGGAAGAAGAUUGAAAGACGGCUCUGCUGUCACUUAUAGAUGACCUUGCGGUGCAUUAGUUAGUUGGUGGGGUAACGGCCUACCAAGACGAUGAUGCAUAGCCGACCUGGGCGGGUGAUCGGCCACAUUGGGACUGAGACACGGCCCAAACUCCUACGGGAGGCAGCAGUAGGGAAUCUUCCGCAAUGGGCGAAAGCCUGACGGAGCAAUGCCGCGUGAGUGAAGAAGGCCUUCGGGUCGUAAAACUCUGUUAUAAGAGAAGAACAAAUUGUAGAGUAACUGCUACAGGCUUGACGGUAUCUUAUCAGAAAGCCACGGCUAACUACGUGCCAGCCGCCGCGGUAA